Molecule: long non-coding RNA, 7117 nt
Organism: Passer domesticus (house sparrow)
Lineage: Eukaryota; Metazoa; Chordata; Aves; Passeriformes; Passeridae
Exons: 6
Source: RefSeq, a predicted model, not a curated record
AAGGAUAAGGUAACAGUGUGAAACAAAAUAUAAAGUCUAUAAUCUUUGAAUAUAUAUAACUUCUGCUAUAUAUAACUUCUCUUCUAGAAGAGACAGUCCGUGUUCCCAAACACUCCUGAGGCUCAACGUAAAACAAAUAAUUCCCAUGAAUUAAAAAGGCAAUUAACACCUCCACAAUGUCAUCUCUUCAACAUGGUUAUGUGUGUGAAGUCUGAAUGCAUUUACAGCACAGUCAUGAAGAUGAGACCACAUUGGCCACUGGUGUGAUAGGAGCAAAGACAGUUACCAGUUCAUGUCCAGGCUAUUGAAGCAAGCUCUCAGAGCAGAUCUCUUGGUUCCACUUCCCCAUUUCUAAAUCAUUUUGAACAUAUUCUGGAUUUCCUGAAAAGUAGGAUAUGCCUACCACAGUAAAGCUUGCAAAGAGAUAGGUAGAAGAGAGGAAGGUAUGCUUGUAUUAAGCAGCACUCACAACAUUUGAGGCAUCGGGGAGAAAGCAAGCACUCAUGUUCUGGGAAGAGGUGAAGAGGAAGGUCUCAGCAUUAUUCAGUACAGGAAGAAACAAGUCUGGUAAAAUUCCUUGGUAAAGGGAAUCAUUACAGAUUUGGGAAGUCUCAGCUUCCCAGGCCUGAGCCAUAUCCCUGCCUCAAGUUGGGGCAAUGAUGUUCUUGUUAGCCAUCAAUGUCUGACAGGGAACUGCAGGGAACUCCUUACCCAGUCCCUGAUCUGGGCAGCUGGAGGAGCAUUAUUCAAAAAGACAGGAGUGUGUCCCAGCUGGUCAUCUAGACACAGUUUGAAAUGCCAGGCAACAGUUACAGCAGAAUGAGCUCUCUGUCUGGCAAUAUCAGGAGUGCUCUGCUGAUAUCCCAAAAAUAUUUCAAUCAUCCUUCUUGGAAGAGAGAUUUUCAGCAUUACAAAAUUACAUUAAAAUACAGUUUGAUUGACAAACGUCAGAAUUCAACUCGGAGAUGCAAACUUCAUAAACUGACUAUGCCACCAGAAAAAUGUCCUUGUAUCCCAAGCCACUGUUUUUGCAGAUGGAGAUCAAGAGAGACUGCAUAUAUAUGUGUAUGCCUCACCUACACAUUUACAGGCAUUUCAAUAUUAUACUGAAACCUCAUGUGUAAGAGCAACAAAGAGGGGAAAUCCAUAUGAGAAGCAGCAACAGAUGUAUGGCAGGAUUUAUCUCACCUAUCUUUAGACAUCCAGAGUGUAGGCGUCUCCAUCUGAGCUAGCCAGCCUGUGCUCCAUUUAUAGUCAGUGGAGAGAAAUAGGCACUUUCAGGGUCUGAUUUGUCUGCUUUAUUUUAGAUCACAUCCACAUUACAAGAGAUGAGAUGACAUGCAUCCUGGAAAUGCCAUUUUCUUUCUAUAGAUUAUGAAAGGACUUUGAAGUAUCUAAUUUAAACAUAAAUUUGAAUGCUGGCUAAACUAAGAACUAAAAAACUCUUCCUUUUUUUCCCUUUUUUUUUCCCCCAGGGAUUUUUUUAGUGUUAGCCUUGUUUCCUGUUCAGUUAUCACAUGGUGCCAUUAAAAAAUGUCUAUAAGCAAGUGAUGAGGCCUAUGAGGCCAGAACUCUCUUAAACCAUGUUGCUACAGAUCUCUUCUGUUCCUGAAACUGAAUAAUGUUAAUCUCACACAGGGAUAUUAAACCUUUAGAAAUUGAAGAUUGACCAGAAAAGCCAAUCAAAAAAAGCAAAGCUUUAUUUAGCUCAAUAUGCACAGAUCUGGUCAUCCUGCACCACAGUUAGCUGUGAUAUGGAGUGGUUAACCAAGUUACCAGCAGAUCCAAGGACCCAGUAUCUGGCAUGGUUAUUAGGUUUUCAUGGCCAGAUUUUUGCAGCAGGGGGGCUGCAGCAGUGGUUUCUGUGAGAAGCUGCCUGAUGCUUCCUUCAUGUCUGGCACAGCCAGUCCCUGGCGGCUCCAAAGAUGGACAUGCCACUGGCCAAGGCUGGGCCAACGGGAAGUGGUGGCAAUGCCUCUGUGGUAAUGUAUUUUAAAAGAGUUUAAAAAAAAUGUUGUUGCACAGUUGUAAUUGCAGCCAGUGAAGAGUGGAGUGAGAGCCCAUGACAUGAACAGCCAUGCAUACACAAAGAUCAGUGGAGAAGGAGGGGGAUCAGGUUCUCCAGACACCAGAGCUGAGAUUCCUCUGCAGGCUGUGAUGAGACCAUGGUGAAGCAUCUGUGCCCCUGCAGCCCAUGGAGGACCAUGGGCAUACAGAGAUCCACCUGCAGCCCAUGGAGGAACCCCACAUUGGAGCAGGAAGAGUUUUGGUACACUUUCUCAUUCAGACAGGCAAAGUACAUGCACCUACUGAAUGCCCUUCCUGCCCUGCUCAUGCAGCCCCAUCCAUCAGCUGAUCUGAGACACCUGGAGCAGUACAAAGUUGGCAGGAAGAGAGUUGAAGGAAGUGCUGAAAGCGAGAGAGAAGGUUGCCCUGGGAUUCACUUCAGUGUCCAACCCAGGUGAAUCAUGGAAUGGAAAAGUGGGAACUGUGACUACUCCAUGUAUGUGAUGCAUUUUAUGUGGCUGUUGGUAUGUACUUUGAUAAAAGUUCAGUAUGAAACUUUACUAAAGUUUUUAGUGUGCAGCUCACGAGUUCAGGGACGUUUGUAGUUGCAGCUUGGAUGGGAGCAGCAGUUGUGAUGCAAAUGUGCUUUAUAGGGAGUCCAGGGCAGCAGUGCAGAAUUUAUCUUGAUUUGGGCCUGGAUUCAUCAUCCUUCUUGGCUUAGAGCUUUGUAAGUGAAGAAGAUGUUGCUGUACCUCACCUACUUGCUGGAGAAAGGCAGGGACCAUUUAUGUUCAGGAUUGCCAUCUGAAUUAUUGCUUAAUAAGGUGACUAUAGAUACAAGCCUGAGCCUGAGCAGAUAUGAAUCAUGACAGCUUUAAGGGGUCACUUUUACCUUCAAUUAUUAGACAUGUUUAGUUAUGAAGAAUGCUGUGAUAAAACCCAGUGAAAGUAAAGACUUCAGCGUGUCAAGGAAGCAUUUAGCAUACCAUGGUGUCUCACAAUACAACACAAAUAAUAGAAGGAUUUUUUGUAACAUGUUGACCAUCAAAGUUGUAAUUAGUAAACAUUGCCAGCUUCAGGGCGGUCUUUCACAGUCCCACUUCUGAGCUGCAAAUUGUUGAUGUAACAGCCAUUUCAGUAAAGCUGGACAAGCCAUCGAGGCUGUAAGGAUCAGUGUGCAUGUAGAAAGAGGAAAUAAAUAAGACCCUCACAGACUAUUAGGUCUUUAAUCUUUUCUCCACAUUACAGUACUCUUACACCCAGUUGGUUCAGUCACAGGAAAUUAAUUUCUGUACACAAUCUGGAAGGUCGGUGGUUUGAUGUUCUUGAAAAACAAGGGAUAUGCUGUUAGCAGAUGCAAGUGGAUGGGGAAAAGGCUGGCCUGAGAAUCUCCAAAGAGUCCUGAUGAGCAGAGGAUAUCCUUCUGCAAGAUGUUGGAAGCUAGAGAAACUGAAGGACAAAACUGUGUCAGAGUGCCCAACUGUGUCAAGACACCCCUUGCACAGAAGUCUGCACAGAGUAAAGCAAAGUGGUGAAUGAACCUCAGCAAGCUUGCUGUCAAAGUCAAGGUAGUGACAAGACUGGGCACUACCCAGAGAAUGCCAGGAAGAGUGAAAGCAGGAGGAAUGGCAAACAAAUGUGACCACACAACAGCAGCCUAAGGCAGAUAAGUCUGGCCCCCACUUGGAGAUUUCUGAGGCUGCUUUUUAGGGAGGAGUGGGACUGUGACAGAGCCCACCUGCAUUCAGGCACUGGUGAGAGGCUAUGUCACAGCAGUGGAAUGAUGCUUUGGAAGUAUCCAGCUACAGGCCAACAAGUAGGCCAGGCUGUUUUAAAUCUGUGUAGCCAUGUAGCAAGCACAGGACCUGCAGCCUCCCUGGUGGUCAGCAGUCUGAGAUAAGAAAUGCCUAGUCAUGAUGACUGGACCUAAGAAGCCUCUCUUCCACCUUUGGACCCUUGUUACCUCUCCGUAAGAUGAUAGAUCACUUUCCCUCGACCCUUAAUACUGGACUAUUUCCUAAAACUCCUGUACCCUAUAUAAACCCUGCUUCUGCUCAGUUUGGCAGAAGAGCUGUCACCAGGACCCUUUACAGAAGACACCAAUAAAGGCAUCUCUGUGGAACCUCACACAGCCUUCUCCUCUCUCUCCCAGUCUGCCAAAGGCGCUUAGCAAGCUAAGAGCUGAAAUCCCUAAUGAGCUGAUAAUCACAAAGACCUGAUCUCAUUUAAGAGCUGAGCUUGCUAAGACUGCCUGUGGCUCUGGAGCCUGCCUUGAGGGGCCUGGACAGGUCGUGCUUAGCUGGACUUCUCUGUCCUGGACACCCACAGCAGCUGGGGUCGGGGAGACCCCCAAAGCCCCAAAAGCUGCAUUAUAUAGCCAUGGCCUGUUAUGGUCCAAACAGGGAACUCCUGUUGGAAGCUCCAUCAGAAAAGUGCCAGUUUCCCCUUCCCUGAACUAUUCUGGUGAAUGUACAGCCACGUUCUCUGGAAGAUAUUUAUACCUCUAUGAAAAAGCACUGACUAACCUUACCCUGCAAUGAUUCUUAGGCUGUAACUUACUACCAACUUCUUGUGCUCCUCUCAGAGAGGAGCACAAGAAAUGCUCCAGACCCCACUGAAUGGGUCAAGAAUGUUGGACUGAAUUUAAAAUUCUGCUGACAAUUUGCAAUAUCCAAGCAGUGGUGCAUAUAAGUUUAAUUAGUCUUUGCUGUUUGCUGUUCCAUUUUGAAAUCUGUAAUGCUGUGGAAGUCUUUGUAACCUGCUGGCAUAUUCACUGAUACCCCAUUGCCUAUUCAUUAUUUAGUUUUUGGUUUGCUCAGUGCUUCUGCCUUGUCUUUGCAUUUCUGAUAGAGCAUUCAGGCAUUAUUUUUUUCCUCCACUGAUAGUGUGCUCUCUCAUCAAACCUUUCCCAGAAGUAUUUUUUCUAUAUUUAAUCUUGCAGCAGCUGCCAUCCUCUCUUUCCCUUUUUGUGUAUUUGUAAUAUAGACAGCAAUACCAAAACAAUGCUUACUAUUCAUGAUGCAGUGGUGUGUGGCAUUGAGCAAGAGCUGCUUCAUGUUUUGUAGGUAUAUGGUCACAGCUUGAUAACUCUGGGCAUACAUUUAGAUUUCUUGCAUAGCUCUGACAGGGGAAGACGGGGACUUUUUAUUUCUCCUUUGUAAAAGAAAACUCAUAUUUACAGUGUAUUCAGAUUAUUUCCCUUAUUAAGGUAAUAUAUAUUUUUUCCUUCCUAUUUUCUUUUUAUGUUUAUGUAUUUUAAAAAACUGAAGGAGAAAAUAAAGGCUAGGUUUCUCUAUUUAAAUUAACAUUUUGGUUUGCAGUGGUACAACAGUUCUGAAGUGAAAUGUCUGAUCACCAUGACUUGCUGCACUGGUUUAGUUUGCAAAGCCAUGCUGGUGUGUGUCAGCUAGAGCACUUUUAGAGAAAACUAACCAAGAAAGUCUACUUGAGAUCUGUAUCUAAGGGAGUCAGCACAGUAAUGGGAACCCAAAGAACCAAACUGAUGAAUAGGUCUUAGGACAGCCUUAACUCACAGGGGUGUUUGGAACAUUUGGUUAUGAAUGUAGUCAUCUCUAUCCAAAAUCUUGUAACAUGUAGAUGUGAUCGUUACUGAACUAACUGCUUUGAUCUACUAAUCUUCUUCUAUUGUGAUAAAUUAUUUGGUAAUGCAGAUAAAUCUCAGGCUGUUUAGAAAGAUAAUUAAAAAAAUAUGAUCAACAUGGCCUCAAAUUCAUUUGUACUAUGUUAGUAUUGGUACUUAGUAGCAAACAACUUUAAAAAAUCCAUUAGAAACAAUCUACUCCAGCUGUGGUCUGAGAAUAUUGAUUUUGAAACUAGAAAGUUUUAAAUCAGAUGGUUGCGUAUGGGCUUCCCACAAAAAUGUUCUAACUUUUAGGACUGAUGUGAUCAAUUUCACUCGAAAUGCUCUUGGUUAUUACAGCUAGCAGCACAUAUCCUAGUAAAGCUAAUCAAUAAGCACUAACAUGCAGAUUGAUACCAUCCUCUGUCAGGCAGUUAGGAAUUUAAUGUAUUUGCAGAACAGGACUCUGGGAGUGAAAAAUAAAAGAAAAGUACUAGUUUAUUGAUUGUGCUCCUGUGACCCAUUUCCUAUACUUUUUAUCUCCAUUUGUCACAAUGCAGCUGGGGUGCAUAUGCCUGCACACCAUUCCAUAGCAAACUAACAACUCUGAACUUAAUAAAUUUGACUUAAUAAAACAUUAACACCAGAAGCUUGUAGCCUCAUCAGAUAUAAUACCAAUAUUUAGAGAGAUACUCAAGGAUACUUUGUCAACAAGGGCUAUCCACAAGCCAGAUUGGAAUGCUCUGCCUUUAGUGACUGCAAUGGCAAAUGUGUUCCAUUAGAGAAUUUUUGGAAUGGAAAAAGAAUUUGUUUUCUUUACUGUUCUCAUGGUUUAAGGAGAUAAAAUCAUUUUUUACUGAAAAUGAAAACAAAUGGACCUUUGACAGGCUAUUUUUAUUACCACUGGAAGUUCUCUGGAAAAAUGAAAGAGUUUCACCUUAGCUUCACAUGAAAUGAAUUCCAGUGGUAUGGGAAAAAUAUAAAUAGAAAGUAGUCUUUUUUCUGACAGUAGAAGCCUUUAAUGCACUUUAUGUCCUUGAUGACUCUUAUUUAACUCAAGCAAAGGAGAUUGAUUCUGACCCUUUACUGAAAUACAGACAAUAUGAAACUAAAAACACAAGAAAUGUCUUUUCAAAGAAAUGGUACAAGAAGUAAAUGAAAUUAAAGAAGAAUGUGAAUACUGACAUCUUAAGUGGAUCUCUGAGAAACUAACAGAAUUCCUGAGGAAUUUAAGAAAGCUUGUCAUCUACAGUGAACACAUAAACUGUGAAACACAUAACACAUAAACUGUGAAACAAAAACACAUAAACAUAGGUCAAUCAAAUGAACUCUCUUGACAGCAAGGAAAAAAAUGACCUCUCAGGAGAAACUGAUUUGUUUGUGUUGUCUAAGGAAGAAUUCUGCUCAUUCUAAGUCACAUAUACUCCUUCUAAAGGGAUAUUAUAAUUGUGCAAGUGCAGCUUUGCACUAGAUAUGAUAACUGGAUAAGGAGUUAUGCUUAUUAAUGCUCUCUCUCCCAGACGUAGUAGA